RNAcentral lists this ribosomal RNA (253 nucleotides) under uncultured bacterium. RNAcentral's name for it is "partial 16S ribosomal RNA". It matches the Rfam family "Bacterial small subunit ribosomal RNA", at positions 524 to 776 of the family's 1533-position model. The record is from RNAcentral.
UACGGAGGGUGCAAGCGUUGUUCGGAAUCACUGGGCGUAAAGGGCGUGUAGGCGGUCCGCUAAGUCUGAUGUGAAAGCCCGGGGCUCACCCCCGGAAGGGCACUGGAAACUGGCGGACUCGAGUCUCGGAGAGGAAGGUGGAAUUCCUGGUGUAGCGGUGAAAUGCGUAGAUAUCAGGAAGAACACCUAUGGCGAAAGCAGCUCUCUGGGACGGUACUGACGCUGAGACGCGAAAGCGUGGGGAGCGAACAGG